Molecule: long non-coding RNA, 810 nt
Filed under: Sorghum bicolor (sorghum)
Lineage: Eukaryota; Viridiplantae; Streptophyta; Magnoliopsida; Poales; Poaceae
Description: long non-coding RNA (SBIC_LNC013129)
Source: RNAcentral
GGACUAAAGGGGAACUUUUAGUCCCGGUUAGUAACACCAACCGGGACUAAAGGGCGCGCCAGGCAGUGACGUGGCGCCACCCCUUUUAGUCCCGGUUGGUAAUACCAACCGGUAAUACCAACCGGGACUAAAGGUUUUCUUUUUCUUUUUCCUUUUCAUUUUUUAUUGAUUUUGGUUUUCAAUUUUAUAUGUUCUCCAAUUUAUUCGUAUACGCUGCAACCGGGAAUAAAGGUAGGUCUUUAGUCCCGGUUGGUAACACCAACCGGGACUAAAGGUCCCUCCCCGACAGCGCCUGACACUGGAGCCGUUGGGGAGGGACCUUUAGUCCCAGUUGGUGUUACCAACCGAGACUAAAGACCUUUUUUGUCCCGGGCGCCAAAAAUGACGGGACUAAAGCUCAUUUGGCACAUCGAUGAAAGGUCUGUUCUCUAGUAGUGUAUGGACUAAAAGAUAACUAAUUGCACAUAUUACGACUACUUUGUGAGACAAAUCUUUUAAAUCUAAUUAGUCCAUGAUUCGAUAAUAAAAUACUACAGUAGCACAGGUGGUAAUGGCGGAUUAAUUAUUUGUCUCUCGCGAUUUACUGAUGAUUUCUAUAAUUUAUUUUUUACACUACAAGAAACUUGCUAAUCAGUGACGGAUUCUUGGUGACGGAUUUACAAACCGUCAACAACGUGGAAGCAGCAGCACUAUCCGUGACGAUAUUCUUUUUUCCGUCAAGGAUGAGCCCACUGGAUAUUCCUAGCCCGCUACUUCGUGACAGUUUUAUUAGGAUCGUCAUAGUUUCUGAUUUUAGACUCAUCAUGCUUU